GAGAAGAGAAGAGAGGAGAAGGCCUCGGAACGAGGGAAGCCAACGAGGAUCGAGGGGGAGCGAUGGGUAUAUUUGGCUCCGACCGCGCAGGGACAUGUGGAUGGGUUUAAACCUUUCCUUUUUCCUUUUUCUUUUUCUAUUUUUAGGCGCCUCCGUUUCUUACUUUCUCUUUUUCUAUUUUCAUUUGUUAUUAUAUCUCAGAAAAUAAAAAUAUAAUAAAUCUAACAUGAUAAGAAUUAGGCUAC
RNAcentral lists this long non-coding RNA (245 nucleotides) under Setaria italica (foxtail millet). Its description in RNAcentral is "long non-coding RNA (SITA_LNC004908)". Lineage: Eukaryota; Viridiplantae; Streptophyta; Magnoliopsida; Poales; Poaceae. The record is from RNAcentral.